ACUCAGUGGCUGAGUGAAUAUUGCGAUGGCGUUUGAAGCGAAAGGUACUGGGUUCGAGUCAAAAGUGA
RNAcentral lists this transfer RNA (68 nucleotides) under Schistosoma mansoni. Lineage: Eukaryota; Metazoa; Platyhelminthes; Trematoda; Strigeidida; Schistosomatidae. The record is from RNAcentral.